UGGGGAAUAUUGCACAAUGGGCGCAAGCCUGAUGCAGCCAUGCCGCGUGUAUGAAGAAGGCCUUCGGGUUGUAAAGUACUUUCAGCGAGGAGGAAGGCGAUGCGGUUAAUAACCGUGUCGAUUGACGUUACUCGCAGAAGAAGCACCGGCUAACUACGUGCCAGCAGCCGCGGUAAUACGGAGGGUGCAAGCGUUAAUCGGAAUUACUGGGCGUAAAGCGCACGCAGGCGGUCUGUCAAGUCGGAUGUGAAAUCCCCGGGCUCAACCUGGGAACUGCAUUCGAAACUGGCAGGCUUGAGUCUUGUAGAGGGGGGUAGAAUUCCAGGUGUAGCGGUGAAAUGCGUAGAGAUCUGGAGGAAUACCGGUGGCGAAGGCGGCCCCCUGGACAAAGACUGACGCUCAGGUGCGAAAGCGUGGGGAGCAAACA
RNAcentral lists this ribosomal RNA (427 nucleotides) under uncultured bacterium. RNAcentral's name for it is "partial 16S ribosomal RNA". It matches the Rfam family "Bacterial small subunit ribosomal RNA", at positions 355 to 774 of the family's 1533-position model. The record is from RNAcentral.